GACGAACGCUGGCGGCGUGCUUAACACAUGCAAGUCGAACGGAAAGGCCCUGCUUUUGUGGGGGGCUCGAGUGGCGAACGGAUGAGUAACACGUGAGUAACCUGCCCUUGACUUUGGGAUAACUUCAGGAAACUGGGGCUAAUACCGGAUAGGAGCUCCUGCUGCAUGGUGGGGGUUGGAAAGUUUCGGCGGUGGGGGAUGGACUCGCGGCUUAUCAGCUUGUUGGUGGGGUAGUGGCUUACCAAGGCUUUGACGGGUAGCCGGCCUGAGAGGGUGGCCGGCCACAUUGGGGGUGAGAAACGGCCCAGACUCCUACGGGAGGCAGCAGUGGGGAAUAAUGCACAAUGGGCGGAAGACUGAUGCAGGAACGCCGCGUGCGGGAUGAAGGCCUUCGGGUUGUAAACCGCUUUCGCCUGUGACGAAGCGUGAGUGACGGUAAUGGGUAAAGAAGCACCGGCUAACUACGUG
This 468-nucleotide ribosomal RNA is filed under the name uncultured bacterium. Its description in RNAcentral is "partial 16S ribosomal RNA". It matches the Rfam family "Bacterial small subunit ribosomal RNA", at positions 28 to 507 of the family's 1533-position model. The record is from RNAcentral.